GAUCGCAUACUAACCGGUCAAUAGUUGAAACGAUACAGAGAAGAUUAGCAUGGCCCCUGCACUAAGGAUGACACGCUCAAUCAAAGAGAAGCUACCAAUUUUU
RNAcentral lists this small nuclear RNA (103 nucleotides) under Fusarium fujikuroi. Lineage: Eukaryota; Fungi; Ascomycota; Sordariomycetes; Hypocreales; Nectriaceae. The record is from RNAcentral. RNAcentral also lists the same sequence under 1 other name.